RNAcentral lists this small RNA (75 nucleotides) under Sphingomonas desiccabilis. RNAcentral's name for it is "Makes More Granules Regulator RNA (mmgR)". It matches the Rfam family "Makes More Granules Regulator RNA (mmgR)". Rfam says of the family: SuhB later renamed mmgR (makes more granules regulator) was a putative non-coding RNA found multiple times in the Agrobacterium tumefaciens genome and related alpha-proteobacteria. Other non-coding RNAs uncovered in the same analysis include: speF, ybhL, metA, and serC. Lineage: Bacteria; Pseudomonadati; Pseudomonadota; Alphaproteobacteria; Sphingomonadales; Sphingomonadaceae. The record is from Rfam by way of RNAcentral.
AGCACGUGCCUUUCAGGCAUCCUCUCCUAAACCUUUCAAGGCCGACCCUCGGGUCGGCCCUUUUUUUUGUCCGGC